ACGGGUGAGUAACGCGUGGGAAUCUACCCAUCUCUACGGAAUAACGCAUGGAAACGUGUGCUAAUACCGUAUACGUCCUUCGGGAGAAAGAUUUAUCGGAGAUGGAUGAGCCCGCGUUGGAUUAGCUAGUUGGUGGGGUAAAGGCCUACCAAGGCGACGAUCCAUAGCUGGUCUGAGAGGAUGAUCAGCCACACUGGGACUGAGACACGGCCCAGACUCCUACGGGAGGCAGCAGUGGGGAAUAUUGGACAAUGGGCGCAAGCCUGAUCCAGCCAUGCCGCGUGAGUGAUGAAGGCCCUAGGGUUGUAAAGCUCUUUCACCGGUGAAGAUAAUGACGGUAACCGGAGAAGAAGCCCCGGCUAACUUCGUGCCAGCAGCCGCGGUAAUACGAAGGGGGCUAGCGUUGUUCGGAUUUACUGGGCGUAAAGCGCACGUAGGCGGACUAUUAAGUCAGGGGUGAAAUCCCGGGGCUCAACCCCGGAACCGCCUUUGAUACUGGUAGUCUUGAGUUCGAGAGAGGUGAGUGGAAUUCCGAGUGUAGAGGUGAAAUUCGUAGA
This 557-nucleotide ribosomal RNA is filed under the name uncultured bacterium. Its description in RNAcentral is "bacterial SSU rRNA". It matches the Rfam family "Bacterial small subunit ribosomal RNA", at positions 102 to 694 of the family's 1533-position model. The record is from RNAcentral.